Molecule: ribosomal RNA, 760 nt
Filed under: uncultured Actinomyces sp.
Lineage: Bacteria; Bacillati; Actinomycetota; Actinomycetes; Actinomycetales; Actinomycetaceae
Description: bacterial SSU rRNA
Rfam family: Bacterial small subunit ribosomal RNA
Source: RNAcentral
GACGAACGCUGGCGGCGUGCUUAACACAUGCAAGUCGAACGGUGAAGGGACCAGCUUGCUGGUUCUGGAUGAGUGGCGAACGGGUGAGUAACACGUGAGUAACCUGCCUCCUUCUUCUGGAUAACCGCAUGAAAGUGUGGCUAAUACGGGAUAUUCUGCGCCUGCUGCAUGGUGGGUGUGGGAAAGAUAUUGUUUCGGUGGGGGAUGGGCUCGCGGCCUAUCAGCUUGUUGGUGGGGUGAUGGCCUACCAAGGCGGUGACGGGUAGCCGGCCUGAGAGGGUGGACGGUCACACUGGGACUGAGACACGGCCCAGACUCCUACGGGAGGCAGCAGUGGGGAAUAUUGCACAAUGGGCGCAAGCCUGAUGCAGCGACGCCGCGUGAGGGAUGGAGGCCUUCGGGUUGUAAACCUCUUUCGCCAGUGAAGCAGGCCUGUCCCUUUUGUGGGUGGGUUGACGGUAGCUGGAUAAGAAGCGCCGGCUAACUACGUGCCAGCAGCCGCGGUAAUACGUAGGGCGCGAGCGUUGUCCGGAAUUAUUGGGCGUAAAGAGCUCGUAGGCGGCUGGUCGCGUCUGUCGUGAAAUCCUCUGGCUUAACUGGGGGCUUGCGGUGGGUACGGGCCGGCUUGAGUGCGGUAGGGGAGACUGGAACUCCUGGUGUAGCGGUGGAAUGCGCAGAUAUCAGGAAGAACACCGGUGGCGAAGGCGGGUCUCUGGGCCGUUACUGACGCUGAGGAGCGAAAGCGUGGGGAGCGAACAGG